This 373-nucleotide ribosomal RNA is filed under the name uncultured bacterium. RNAcentral describes it as "bacterial SSU rRNA". It matches the Rfam family "Bacterial small subunit ribosomal RNA", at positions 521 to 896 of the family's 1533-position model. The record is from RNAcentral.
UAAUACGGAGGGUGCAAGCGUUAUCCGGAUUUACUGGGUUUAAAGGGUGCGUAGGUGGGUUGGUAAGUCAGUGGUGAAAUACUUUCGCUUAACGAAGGAACUGCCAUUGAUACUACCAGUCUUGAAUACAGUGGAGGUAGGCGGAAUGCGUCAUGUAGCGGUGAAAUGCUUAGAUAUGACGCAGAACACCAAUUGCGAAGGCAGCUUGCUACACUGUUAUUGACACUGAGGCACGAAAGCGUGGGGAUCAAACAGGAUUAGAUACCCUGGUAGUCCACGCCCUAAACGAUGGAUACUCGACAUACGCGAUACACAGUGUGUGUCUGAGCGAAAGCAUUAAGUAUCCCACCUGGGAAGUACGACCGCAAGGUUG